CCCCUCCCCCCAGUACCCACCAUCACUACACACAUAAGACAGAACAACUGGGGAAGCCUACACCACCAAGCACACCCACCUAAACCACUAACAUCACAUUGAACCAACACACUCAAACCCACAUGACCCACUAGGCAGGACAUUGUAGCAGACAAAUGACACUCAACAGGACAACUACCGACAGAUCGACAAGGGAACUGUAAGAGUGCUGUGUAAUAUUCUGAAACAUUGUGUAACAUCUAGUCAACUAGUAUCUCC
This is a non-coding RNA of Pelobates cultripes (western spadefoot toad), 258 nucleotides long. Lineage: Eukaryota; Metazoa; Chordata; Amphibia; Anura; Pelobatidae. The record is from the annotation of a GenBank genome assembly.